RNAcentral lists this ribosomal RNA (764 nucleotides) under Cryocola sp. Its description in RNAcentral is "bacterial SSU rRNA". It matches the Rfam family "Bacterial small subunit ribosomal RNA", at positions 31 to 806 of the family's 1533-position model. The record is from RNAcentral. Lineage: Bacteria; Bacillati; Actinomycetota; Actinomycetes; Micrococcales; Microbacteriaceae.
GAACGCUGGCGGCGUGCUUAACACAUGCAAGUCGAACGAUGAACCUGGAGCUUGCUCUAGGGAAUUAGUGGCGAACGGGUGAGUAACACGUGAGUAACCUGCCCUUGACUCUGGGAUAACCUCCGGAAACGGAAGCUAAUACCGGAUAUGACGCACGGAGGCAUCUCCUGUGCGUGGAAAGAACUUCGGUCAAGGAUGGACUCGCGGCCUAUCAGGUAGUUGGUGAGGUAACGGCUCACCAAGCCUACGACGGGUAGCCGGCCUGAGAGGGUGACCGGCCACACUGGGACUGAGACACGGCCCAGACUCCUACGGGAGGCAGCAGUGGGGAAUAUUGCACAAUGGGCGCAAGCCUGAUGCAGCAACGCCGCGUGAGGGACGACGGCCUUCGGGUUGUAAACCUCUUUUAGUAGGGAAGAAGCGAAAGUGACGGUACCUGCAGAAAAAGCACCGGCUAACUACGUGCCAGCAGCCGCGGUAAUACGUAGGGUGCGAGCGUUGUCCGGAAUUAUUGGGCGUAAAGAGCUCGUAGGCGGUCUGUCGCGUCUGCUGUGAAAACCCGAGGCUCAACCUCGGGCCUGCAGUGGGUACGGGCAGACUAGAGUGCGGUAGGGGAGAAUGGAAUUCCUGGUGUAGCGGUGGAAUGCGCAGAUAUCAGGAGGAACACCGAUGGCGAAGGCAGUUCUCUGGGCCGUAACUGACGCUGAGGAGCGAAAGCGUGGGGAGCGAACAGGAUUAGAUACCCUGGUAGUCCACGCCGUAAA